AGGAGCAGGCCCAACCCACGUCGCCUCUGUCUUCAAUCUCUGCCAGUAGGCAGAGGGAGAGAGACGACACGGCGCCGGCUGUGCCACCUCCUGCUUCGCGCUGGAGGCGCCUCCUCCACCCUUAUCCCACGGCCUAGAAGAUGUGGACGAGGCUCUAGAGGAGACAUUAAUCUCAUUAAUGGAUCUACAUGAUGUGUACGGUGUUGACCGGAUUAGCUUGGGAAUCCCAGACAGAGGUGUGGCUCCUAUGAUAGGGUCGUUGUAGCUUUUUAGGCUCUUUCAGCCAUUUUUAAUAGAUUUCUGUACCCAGACAUGUUGUGCUUCCGCUUGAUGCUUGUAUGACUUGAGUGUUGGAUCAUGUGACCCCUGUUUGUAAUAUCACACUACGUUGGCUCUUAUGAGUCUUUAAUAAAUGCUUGAUUCGUAGAGUUGUGUUGUGA
Hordeum vulgare subsp. vulgare (domesticated barley) is the source of this 440-nucleotide long non-coding RNA. RefSeq lists it as uncharacterized. Lineage: Eukaryota; Viridiplantae; Streptophyta; Magnoliopsida; Poales; Poaceae. The transcript has 2 exons. The record is from RefSeq and is a predicted model, not a curated record.